GACGAACGCUGGCGGCGUGCUUAACACAUGCAAGUCGAACGGUGAAGCGCUUUCCUUUUUGGUUGGUGUGGAUGAGUGGCGAACGGGUGAGUAACACGUGAGUAACCUGCCCCCUUCUUCUGGAUAACCGCAUGAAAGUGUGGCUAAUACGGGAUAUUCUGCGCCUGCUGCAUGGUGGGUGUGGGAAAGAUUGUGCCUUUGGGUGUUUUCGGUGGGGGAUAGGCUCGCGGCCUAUCAGCUUGUUGGUGGGGUGAUGGCCUACCAAGGCGGUGACGGGUAGCCGGCCUGAGAGGGUGGACGGUCACACUGGGACUGAGACACGGCCCAGACUCCUACGGGAGGCAGCAGUGGGGAAUAUUGCACAAUGGGCGCAAGCCUGAUGCAGCGACGCCGCGUGAGGGAUGGAGGCCUUCGGGUUGUGAACCUCUUUCGCCAGUGAAGCAGGCCUGCUCCUUGUGGGUGGGUUGACGGUAGCUGGAUAAGAAGCGCCGGCUAACUACGUG
This 503-nucleotide ribosomal RNA is filed under the name uncultured bacterium. Its description in RNAcentral is "partial 16S ribosomal RNA". It matches the Rfam family "Bacterial small subunit ribosomal RNA", at positions 28 to 507 of the family's 1533-position model. The record is from RNAcentral.